Molecule: long non-coding RNA, 854 nt
Filed under: Pelobates cultripes (western spadefoot toad)
Lineage: Eukaryota; Metazoa; Chordata; Amphibia; Anura; Pelobatidae
Source: RNAcentral
UCCCCAAACUCCUCCAGUCACACAAAUGUAUGGAUCCUUUUUGUUAGGUAUGUCUUUGUAUAUGGCUGCAUAUUGUGUUUGUGGAAAUGUACAAGUAACUAUGUCACAGUAAUCAAAGGUGUAUGUGGCUACAUCAGUAUUAGAAAAAUUGUACCAGAAAGUGUAAACGUGAUUAUCUUUGGUUAUGGCCACUUGUUGGGCCCAGGCAAAGUGUAGCAGCAUAAGAAAACACAAGACACAUAAUAAAUUCAUAUUUCAACAGGAUCAGCUUCUUCUGGAGCAGGCACUUUUUUGCAAUGUGAAGCGUGUAUCCAAGAACUCUUUCCAGCUAGUUUAACUGACGUUGCUGUAAUCAGGAGCACUUGGUAAGGACCAUCAAAUCUUGGUUCUAGGGUGUGUUUUCUGAGAAACUUCUUGACCAUAACCCAGUCACCCGGAAGCAGCUUGUGUGUACCUGUAUUCGACUCAGGAUCUGGAAUAGAAGAAAACACUUGGGCAUGUAUCUUGGUCAAGGCAUGUGAGAGGGCAGUCACAUAGUCUACCAUAGCAUCUGACUGAAUCUGAAGCUGUUGGGGAAAGUAGCAACCUAACCUGGGUGCUGUACCAAACAAAAUCUCAUAAGGUGACAAGCUAUAUUUUCCUCUGGGAGUGUACCUUACACUAAACAACGCUAGUGGGAGACUCUCGGGCCAGGGCAUGUUAGUUUCUUGUGACAUCUUAAGCAUUCUGGCUUUCAAAGUGCCAUUCAUGCGUUCUACCUUACCGCUACUUUGUGGGUGGUAUGGUGUGUGGAAUGCAAGGGUCACCCCCGGUGCUGACCAGACUUCCCGUGUUAGCGAGGCAGUGAAGGAGGU